GACGAACGCUGGCGGCGUGCUUAACACAUGCAAGUCGAACGAAGUGGCGAACGGGUGAGUAAUACGUGGGUAACCUGCCCUCCUUUUUGGGAUAAGCCUUGGAAACGGGGUCUAAUACCGAAUAAAGGGGGAAGGGCGCGCGGCCUAUCAGCUUGUUGGUGGGGGGAUGGCCUACCAAGGCGGUGACGGGUAGCCGGCCUGAGAGGGUGACCGGCCACAUGGGGACGGAGAUACGGCCCAGACUCCUACGGGAGGCAGCAGUGGGGUGUAUUGCACAAUGGGCGCAAGCCUGAUCCAGCCAUGCCGCGUGUCUGAAGAAGGCCUUCGGGUUGUAAAGGACUUUUGUUAGGAAAACGGUACCUAAAGAAUAAGCACCGGCUAACUACGUGCCAGCAGCCGCGGUAAUUC
Molecule: ribosomal RNA, 408 nt
Filed under: uncultured bacterium
Lineage: Bacteria
Description: partial 16S ribosomal RNA
Rfam family: Bacterial small subunit ribosomal RNA
Source: RNAcentral